Molecule: ribosomal RNA, 590 nt
Filed under: uncultured marine eukaryote
Lineage: Eukaryota
Description: SSU rRNA
Rfam family: Eukaryotic small subunit ribosomal RNA
Source: RNAcentral
UACCUGGUUGAUCCUGCCAGUAGUCAUAUGCUUGUCUUAAAGAUUAAGCCAUGCAUGUCUAAGUAUAAGCAUUUAUACCGCGAGACUGCAAACGGCUCAUUAAAACAGUUAUGGUUUAUUUGAUGGUUCCUUUGCUACUUGGAUAACCGUAGUAAUUCUAGAGCUAAUACAUGCACGAAGGGGCGACUUACGAAGCCCUGUAUUUAUUAGAUUAAAGCCAACCGCCUCCGGGUGUUCGUGGUGAAUCAUAGUAACUUAUCGGAUCGCCGGCUCUAUGCCAGCGACGUGUCAUUCAAAUUUCUGCCCUAUCAGCUUUAGAUGGUAGGAUAUGGGCCUACCAUGGCGGUGACGGGUAACGGAGAAUUAGGGUUCGAUUCCGGAGAGGGAGCCUGAGAAACGGCUACCACUUCUAAGGAAGGCAGCAGGCGCGCAAAUUACCCAAUCCUGACUCAGGGAGGUAGUGACAAGAAAUAACAAUAAACCGGCUUAUGCCGGUUUAAUUGGAAUGAGUACAAUUUAAACAUCUUAACGAGGAACAAUUGGAGGGCAAGUCUGGUGCCAGCAGCCGCGGUAAUUCCAGCUCCAAUAGC